RNAcentral lists this ribosomal RNA (254 nucleotides) under uncultured bacterium. RNAcentral's name for it is "partial 16S ribosomal RNA". It matches the Rfam family "Bacterial small subunit ribosomal RNA", at positions 524 to 776 of the family's 1533-position model. The record is from RNAcentral.
UACGGAGGGGGCGAGCGUUAUUCGGAAUUAUUGGGCGUAAAGGGCGCGUAGGCGGCUUGCUAAGUCAAAGGUGAAAUCCCUCGGCUCAACUGAGGAACUGCCUUUGAAACUAGCGAGCUUGAGGCCGGGAGGGGGGUAGCGGAAUUCCCAGUGUAGCGGUGAAAUGCGUAGAUACUGGGAGGAACACCAGUGGCGAAGGCGGCUACCUGGACCGGUACUGACGCUGAGGCGCGAAAGCGUGGGUAGCAAACAGG